Molecule: long non-coding RNA, 247 nt
Organism: Eurytemora carolleeae
Lineage: Eukaryota; Metazoa; Arthropoda; Copepoda; Calanoida; Temoridae
Exons: 3
Source: RefSeq, a predicted model, not a curated record
CAGUAACAGAAACAUCUGUGAAGAAGAUUUGGCCUGUCCAGUCCCUCCAGAAUACACACAGAUCUGCUCCAGGGUAUCGUUGUGAAUCGGACAUGGCACUCCUCAAAUAGAGCAGGUCUUGUCGUAAACUAUUGUACAGCAGGGAUUAUAGGUCAUCAUCUAAUAUACUGUCCUUUCUCUUCAUGAAUAAAGAUGUCGCCAACAUGUCUAGGUUUUCCAAUGCCUCCUACCUGACUUCUUUAAAUGG